AUUGAACGCUGGCGGCAUGCCUUACACAUGCAAGUCGAACGGUAACGCGGGGCAACCUGGCGACGAGUGGCGAACGGGUGAGUAAUGCAUCGGAACGUACCCAGUUGUGGGGGAUAGAUCGGCGAAAGCCGGAUUAAUACCGCAUACGACCUACGGGUGAAAGCGGGGGAUCGCAAGACCUCGCGCAGUUGGAGCGGCCGAUGUCAGAUUAGGUUGUUGGUGGGGUAAAGGCUCACCAAGCCGACGAUCUGUAGCUGGUCUGAGAGGACGACCAGCCACACUGGGACUGAGACACGGCCCAGACUCCUACGGGAGGCAGCAGUGGGGAAUUUUGGACAAUGGGGGCAACCCUGAUCCAGCCAUGCCGCGUGCGGGAAGAAGGCCUUCGGGUUGUAAACCGCUUUUGUCGGGGAAGAAAUCUUCCGGGCUAAUACCCCGGGAGGAUGACGGUACCCGAAGAAUAAGCACCGGCUAACUACGUGCCAGCAGCCGCCGUAA
RNAcentral lists this ribosomal RNA (498 nucleotides) under uncultured bacterium. RNAcentral's name for it is "partial 16S ribosomal RNA". It matches the Rfam family "Bacterial small subunit ribosomal RNA", at positions 29 to 523 of the family's 1533-position model. The record is from RNAcentral.